RNAcentral lists this long non-coding RNA (1199 nucleotides) under Carica papaya (papaya). RNAcentral's name for it is "long non-coding RNA (CPAP_LNC005250)". Lineage: Eukaryota; Viridiplantae; Streptophyta; Magnoliopsida; Brassicales; Caricaceae. The record is from RNAcentral.
AUCUAUUGGCCUUAGCCCAAGCAUCUGCCCCCCAACAAAAGAAGUCUUUACCCAAGAUAAUCAUGAAAAGUGACUUGUAGUUCUGAAAGAUUCUUGCAUUCUUAUCCAGCCGACUCACCAACAAUCUGGAAACGAUUGCCCCAACCCACAGAGAGCUGAACUUUCUCUUUCACUGCCAGACCUAUCAGAACUGAAGGCAGGAAGGACUAAAUAAAUAAUCAGAGGGAUAACCCGAGAAAAGGCAGAAAUCUUGAAAACGCGAUUCCAAACUGUCUAAAGGCAUAGAACGAUGCAGGAAGAGGUGGUUGUGAGUCUUGCCAGUUCUGUAGCACUAAACGAACCCCCGCAAGCCACGAUUCGGUUUGAAUUGUGCAAUAUUUGUUUUAUCUUAGAUGUGUUUUUGCAAUAUAAGAUUUUUCUAAAGAAUACGCGGGAGAAUAGAUGAAGGAUGGCGAACGCAUUUUUCUCGGGCUUGUUGGGUCUAAAGCUAUAUGAAGGUUCAAAUUUUGUCUGCUUGGUUGACGUGGAUGCAAAGAGGAGGGCUUCAAUUUUUCUCUUAUCUCAAAAAAAAGAAGGGGUGGGCUUCAGUAUUUUUCCUAUUAAGGCUAGGGGAUGUUGGAGGUACAAUUCUAAAGAAAUUCUUGAGUAAUGUAAUUUGAAUUUCUUUGAUUUGUAACCGGUGUUCAGUUUGCCGCAUUUCAAUCCUUUAGAAAAUUAGUCUGAUGGAACGAUAGGAUCCUUUUCUCACUGAAACUCUACAUGAGGGAGUAUGUGCUACAUGUGUUACCGGAGAUUGGUGAACUGAUCAAUGUCCUCUCUUUGAUUCAUUUGUUUGAGAAGCAAUAUUUUGUUAUCAUUUUGAUGGUUAUUUUUAUUAUUGUAGCUAUUGUUUGUUGCAAUCGACUUUAUACAACGUGUUGAUGGUCAAAAUGAUAAUCAAAAUGGUAAUGAAGUACAAAAGUUUACAAGGUUGGUAUCAGUUGUAGUAGAAAAAUCCUUGGUUGAGGGGAUAACUAGAGGUUUUUGGUCUUCUCCAGAUUUGCAAGUAUAGACAAGAAUGUAUAACUGGAGCAUGGAUGGAUUAUGUGCUGGGUAUUCAUUGGCAUCACUUCUAAGUUGGUUAUUUUUUAGCUUAUGGUAUUUAUAACUUUUAACAUGCCUUUGCUAGCCUUUGUUACGUUAGCUUGUCUUCACGAGCC